This 491-nucleotide ribosomal RNA is filed under the name uncultured bacterium. Its description in RNAcentral is "partial 16S ribosomal RNA". It matches the Rfam family "Bacterial small subunit ribosomal RNA", at positions 29 to 507 of the family's 1533-position model. The record is from RNAcentral.
UUGAACGCUGGCGGCAUGCUUUACCCCUGCAAGUCGAACGGUAACAGGCCUUCGGGUGCUGCCGAGUGGCGAACGGGUGAGUAAUGCAUCGGAACGUACCCAGAGGUGGGGGAUAACGCAGCGAAAGCUGUGCUAAUACCGCAUGUGAUCUGAGGAUGAAAGCGGGGGACCGAGCAGCAAUGUUUGGCCUCGCGCCUUUGGAGCGGCCGAUGUCGGAUUAGCUAGUUGGUGGGGUAAAGGCCUACCAAGGCGACGAUCCGUAGCUGGUCUGAGAGGACGACCAGCCACACUGGGACUGAGACACGGCCCAGACUCCUACGGGAGGCAGCAGUGGGGAAUUUUGGACAAUGGGCGCAAGCCUGAUCCAGCAAUGCCGCGUGCGGGAAGAAGGCCUUCGGGUUGUAAACCGCUUUUGGCAGGAACGAAACGGUGUCCGCUAAUACCGGGCGCUAAUGACGGUACCUGCAGAAUAAGCACCGGCUAACUACGUG